UGCAGAAUCCCGUGAACCAUCGAGUCUUUGAACGCAAGUUGCGCCCUAAGCCUUCUGGCCGAGGGCACGUCUGCCUGGGUGUCACAAAUCGUCGUCCCCCCAUCCUCUCGAGGAUAAUGGACGGAAGCUGGUCUCCCGUGUGUUACNGCACGCGGUUGGCCAAAAUCCGAGCUAAGGACGCAAGGAGCGUCCCGACAUGCGGUGGUGAAUUAAAACCUCGUCAUACCGUCGGCCGCUCCUGUCUUGAUGCUCUCGAUGACCCAAAGUCCUCAACGCGACCCCAGGUCAGGCGGGAUCACCCGCUGAGUUUAAGCAUAUCAAUAAGCGGAGGAAAAGAAACUAACAAGGAUUCCCUUAGUAACGGCGAGCGAACCGGGAAGAGCCCAGCUUGAAAAUCGGACGUCUUCGGCGUUCGA
Molecule: ribosomal RNA, 416 nt
Filed under: Isatis tinctoria
Lineage: Eukaryota; Viridiplantae; Streptophyta; Magnoliopsida; Brassicales; Brassicaceae
Description: eukaryotic LSU rRNA
Rfam family: Eukaryotic large subunit ribosomal RNA (bases 276-416)
Source: RNAcentral